CGGGUGAGUAACGCGUAAAUAAUCUACCCUGGUGUUUGGGAUAACCAGCCGAAAGGCUGACUAAUACCGGAUAUCUGUGAGGUUGUUGGACCUUACAUGAAAGGUGGCCUCUUCUUGAAAGCUAUCGCAUUGGGAUGAGUUUGCGUACCAUUAGCUAGUUGGUGGGGUAAAGGCCUACCAAGGCAACGAUGGUUAGCGGGUCUGAGAGGAUGAUCCCGUCACACUGGCACUGGAACACGGGCCAG
This 245-nucleotide ribosomal RNA is filed under the name uncultured bacterium. Its description in RNAcentral is "partial 16S ribosomal RNA". It matches the Rfam family "Bacterial small subunit ribosomal RNA", at positions 103 to 334 of the family's 1533-position model. The record is from RNAcentral.